CCGUCUAAACUCCGCUGCACUCCUGCCGUCAAUUUUUUUUUUCACUGGCACUCGUGCGUUUUCCAAUCCGCCGUGCGUAUCUUCUUCGUGCCAGCUGGAGUGGGCUGCCCUUGUCUCGUGCCGCGUACGCGCAGCAAGUGCUUGGAAAGCACUUUCCUUUAUCCUAUCUUUCCCCCCUUUUAGUCGUCCAUCAAUGCAGGGCACACACUCCCACCCGCACACACCCACGCACUGCAGACAUUUCGCACGGUUCGCCUUUGACAAUGCCCAAGAAAGAAAAGGAGAAGAGGGUGCCGACCCCUUCGGUGACCUCGCCAGGCAUCACAGAGGAAGAGUGCUUGCUGGAGGUGUAUCUGCACUGGGAUGUGGAGGCGCAAGCGGCGCCAGACAUUCUGGUUUUCCUGCGACUCUGUCAGGAGGAUCACUUCAUUCUUCCUCGCCAGCUGCCGGCCGACGCCAACAGCGACUGUACCGCUGACGGGCAACAACAGUCGCGCCAUCAGCAACCGUCUGCAGCCCUCCCGCUGCUCCUCCUAGUAAAGCAGACGGUCUUUGUAGGCGGGUCGACCGUACGCCAUACACUACUUAAUGAUAGCAAGGCCAACCGUAUUGACGUGUACGCCCUCCCGAGCGCCGGCGUUGGCGACGAAGCCGGUGGCAAGCAGGCUGGCGGCGCAGCGGGGAAGCGUUUUAAGAGCGUGACGCCGGCUGUCGCGAAAUCCAAAGGAAAGUCAGCGACCGGGCUCGCUGCUCUCCCCGACGGCGCCCGCCACAUUGGGGGAGCAACGCUAUCGUUUGUUCCACUUCUUGCAAGCUCGACAAUGGACGUCUCUGUGCCGCUCACCGCAGGGUCACUUGUCGAUGCUGACAAGUGCUUGAAUUUCCGCGUGCGGUGCCACGAUUCACUGCUGCUGUCUGCGCAGUGCAUGUCUCAGUGUCGCCCAGUGCUGGUGCGUGUAUACGGGGUCGCGGGACUGCCCACCUUGGAGUCCACAUCUGGCUCCUCAUCCACAAAGGACAUAGCUGUAGCUGCGACUGCCGACUCACGCCGUCGUCUGCGCGCGUGUGUCACACUGGCAGGGGGAUGCGUGACGGCACCCAUACUUCCGAUCACACCUGCAAUCUCCGCCGAUGAGGCUGUGGCGCCGUCCUCAUUCCCAUCACACAGACCGGCGGCCACUUUCCACGAUCACAUUCUCUUUUUGCAGGAGCUGGGCACACCCCUCGAUGUGUACCGGAAACUCCACAGCGCACCAUGCGAGGUGUCGCUUUGGCAAUCCUUCGAGAUGGAUGCUCAGGGGACGGCGGUAGCAGCUGCAAGCGCCACCUCACCGCCGGAGAAGGGCACAGAGGUCUUACUUGGCAGCGGCGGCUUUUCGGUGCGCGACUUUUUGACAGACGAUCAAACACGCUUUACUGAAACGGUGCAACUGCUGCCUGGUCGCUCCACGGUGAACCUUGCAAAGGAUUCCACGUGCCUCACUACCGGCUGCAGCGUUUCCGUACGCCUCGACUUUUUCCAGCCCUUCACGCCUCUGCAGCAUGUUGACAAGGAGGGGCAGCCGCUGCCCCGCAAGGCCUUCUUGACGCGUGCGCUUGUGCGCCUGCCGUACGCGGUUCCGUGGAUAGCCGACUUUCUGGCGCUCCUUCUGCGCGAGGUCACGGCGCUGCCUCGCGCGACAGAGGACGUGCAGCUUUAUCUACCGCCACCGCCGCCGCUACCGCCCACCGAAACCGCGGAGAAGGAAAAGCCAGCUGGGGGACGCAGCGGCACCACCCAUGCCCGCGGCGCGGCGCCGCCUGCUGCCUCCUCUUCCUCAAAGCGAUCAGGUAGCGGCAGCGGGAAUCGAAAGGCAGGAAAGGCAAUCGGACGCCCUGCUCCCGCAGACCCCGUACCAGCCCCGCCAUUGCCGUCUUUCGCAGGCGAGCUGAAGGUGUACUCGCCGCCCGGGCUCAGCGGAUUCGAGGUGGCAGACGGGGAGGAGCGUCUGUGGUGCUUUGAGGCGACGGUCCCCGAACUGCAGCGUAUACUCAGCGAGCUCGGCAGUUUUGUGGAGGCUCGUGGCGGUGCGACGUCACAGGUGCAUAUGCAUUUCAACGCCGAGCUGUUUGUGCCGCAGCGCGCGUACGUGAAGUUCCCGCCAUUGGUGGUUCCACCAGUGGGAAUGGCAGCCGCAUCACCGCCACCCAGCGAGGCCGAUGACGCGUCGGUGGCCUUGGAGGUGGAGCCGAGCGGAACGGGGGGACGGCUUCACCGCAUUCGCCUCCGUAGCGCUGUCGGCGCCCUGUGCCAGACGCAGUCCCACUACAUCCGCCACAACCUCUCCGAUGACUGCCUGCGGUGCCUGCUCUCCUUGGCAGCGCUGCUGAGGGCUGCGUCGAUGCGAGAGGCCGAGAUGCGAGGUUGGAUGCCGUCCGCGACGCUUCUCAUCGCCGCAGAGCGUUCCUUUGGUCAAACUCUAGAAAAGGAAGACUUGUUCGGCGUCACCUUCCCCACCCCUGCUGCAUCGCAGACCGCAGUGGCGGCGUCGGUCUCUAUGUAUGAUACCACGGAUCGCGUGUCGGAAAGCAACGCCAGCGGUGCCGCUGCAUCUCUGAUGGCCGAGGCGGUGGUAGGGUCGGUCGUGUUCUUUGACGGUAUGCUCAGGGCUGGGACUCGCCGUCCUGUGCCGGCGGCCGUUCUCCUGCGCUUCCCUGUCUCGUUUUGGAUGGUGGUGACAAAAACGAAGGAAGAGGUGCUGUGCACCUUCCCACACAACACCCCCACCGGCCUCGUACAGUACCACAUCGAGGGACAGGUAGUGCGGUGCUCCACGGUGACCUUGCUCUACGUGCUCAAGUGCGUGUGCCUUGCGCGUAGUGUCACACAAAGCCACAACGCGGCCUACGAGCUCGUCUUGCGCCAGCGUCAGCGCGAGCAGCACGCGCUGCAGCAGGAGAGGAUGGCACCAUCGGCGACCAGCAAGCUCAUGGCGGUGCGGCAGGCUUCAGCGGAUGCCGCGGGGGACGGCAGAGACGCCUUGCGCCGCGGUGCAGACAAGACUCGCGGCUCUGCCGUCGGCCAAGUACGCGGAACGGACUCCAGUGACGAGGAUGGCGCUGAAGAGGUGGAUUGGCUAGACUCCAGCAUGGACCGGUACUUGUACACGUCUUCUGCUUCCCCAAGCAGGUCAUCAGCGCUGUCACGGCGCUUGCGAACGGAUCGCACGAGUUCUCACAAGACGUCGGUUCACAAAACCCAACGCAGACAAGUACUGGGCGCCGCCCCCUCGCCGACGGAGCUCACGUACGACGAUCUGUGGCGCAUGUAUGAGAAGCGCGCCCCCGCCUCGGCGACAGCGGCACCUGCACGCGGCCACGAAAAACUGCCACCCAUCCGAUUUUGAUAGGGGAGAGGGAGACAGAGGUCCUGCCCCACAUCCCCUCCUUUUUUCUCUCUUCCUCUACUGAUGUACACUAUAUGCGUGACGAAGCGCGUUGUGCUUCCCACUGCCGUCACACUUCGUGUGGCUUUGCCCCAUCUCUUCUUUUGGCCGGUCAAGCUCUUGUGCACUAGCUUCCCGUUGCCGUCCCCGCUGUAGUUCGUGUUUGUGUAUGUGCGUGGUUUAUACAUAUCUGCAUUUUCGUUGUGAUACGCCUUCCGGACUUUGCGUGAGGUGGUGCGAGCGUGUCGAUGGGUCGACAUCUAUCUUGCCUCCUUCCCCCACCUUUUCUUCUCUAGCGCUUCGCACGCUAGAGCUCAGUGCAGCAAG
This 3752-nucleotide unclassified non-coding RNA is filed under the name Leishmania donovani. RNAcentral's name for it is "gene:LdHU3.30.4430(CDS-product:hypothetical_prote in_conserved)". The record is from RNAcentral. Lineage: Eukaryota; Euglenozoa; Kinetoplastea; Trypanosomatida; Trypanosomatidae.